CUGGCAACCACACCUAGCUCCCUCCCCCUGCAACCCCGCACCCCGCCUGGUAAAAGUCCAGCCCAUCUGCUGUCUGCUGCCCCACCUCCUCCGGCACCACCCCGUGCAAACUCAGCGCCACCCAGCCCUGCACCCACCCCCAGCAUUCCACCGUCGGGUGUCCGUUGGAAGGCAGGUUAGCAGACUCAUGAUAACGCCAGCGUGGACGCCAGCUGCUCUCUGGGCUGUGGAAUUCCAAGGCUUGGCACAGCACUGGCUUGCAGCUUCUCACCUGAGCAGGAGAUAACAGGGAGCUUGGACAAUAGUAGCUCCAGGCCCAGCGCAAACCCUUUUGGGGAGCCACAGAGCCCCAGGAGGAGAACAGAGCGGUGCUGCCUCCAGGCCUAAGCUGCCCAUGUUGAGAGGCUGUGCUUCUCCUUCGUGCUGCCGCCUGGAGACUGAUCCCCGGAGCUGCCCACCCUGCCCCUCUCCUUCCCACACCGCCCUGUGGCCAGCCUACUUCCUGCAUUUCCAUUUAACCAAGGAAACCCUUUAAAGAAGAGAGGAUCAGCCUGAUGCCAUGGCAUGAAGUCCUCCCACCCGCAGCUCUGCUCCUGUAAGCCCACAUCCCACUCAUUCCUGGGAUCAGUCCAAUGUGAUAGCAGUUCACUAGUUUUCUUCCCAGUAAAAAGCAUCUGAGCAUGGAAUACUCAAGAUUUUACUUACUAGCAGCAGUAGGCUUUAGGUUUGUAAGAAUUCGUCUCCAGCUCUCCAGAAAUAUCCACUCAUUUGUGUGCAAGGGCUGAUUGUAGUAAAAUAUGCUAUGGGCAUGUUUUGCACCUGUAAGUUCAUCAUGCAGGACACCCAUGUCUAAGAUGUCCAACCUUUAAACAUUUCAGAACACUUUGGAUGUCACAGGUUAAACCUCCUUCUUCCAUUAGGGAAACUGGCUUUAAGGCGCAGAGAUCAGCUGGACAUAGUAGGUAUGCCUGCAGUCCCAGCACUCUGGGAGACUGAGGCAAGGUGAUGGGGAGUUUGAGCCCAAGCUGGGCAACUUGGUGAUUUAGCAAAACCCUAUCUCAAAAUUUAAAAAGGGCUGGUAAGUCAGGCCUGUUGGCACAUACCUGUAAUUCCUAUACUUGGGAGGCUGAGAUAGGGGGAUCACUGUGAGUUCCAGGCCAGCCUGAACUACAUAGGGAGAUCCUAUGUCCAAGACCCAAAAAUAAAUAAAUAAAUAAAUAAAUAAAAUAAAAAGGGGCUGGUGAGUUAGCUCAUCGCAAAGGCCCUAGGUUCAUUCUUCAGUA
This 1283-nucleotide long non-coding RNA is filed under the name Heterocephalus glaber (naked mole-rat). RNAcentral's name for it is "lncRNA (ENSHGLG00000028554.2)". The record is from RNAcentral. Lineage: Eukaryota; Metazoa; Chordata; Mammalia; Rodentia; Bathyergidae.